This 253-nucleotide ribosomal RNA is filed under the name uncultured bacterium. Its description in RNAcentral is "partial 16S ribosomal RNA". It matches the Rfam family "Bacterial small subunit ribosomal RNA", at positions 524 to 776 of the family's 1533-position model. The record is from RNAcentral.
UACGAAGGGGGCUAGCGUUGUUCGGAUUUACUGGGCGUAAAGCGCGUGUAGGCGGGUCGUUAAGUUGGGGGUGAAAUCCCGAGGCUCAACCUCGGAACUGCCUUCAAAACUGGCGACCUGGACUCAAGUAGAGGCAAGUGGAAUUGCGAGUGUAGAGGUGAAAUUCGUAGAUAUUCGCAGGAACACCAGUGGCGAAGGCGACUUGCUGGACUUGUAGUGACGCUGAGACGCGAAAGCUUGGGGAGAAAACAGG